This 64-nucleotide transfer RNA is filed under the name Clinostomum complanatum. RNAcentral describes it as "tRNA-Glu". The record is from RNAcentral. Lineage: Eukaryota; Metazoa; Platyhelminthes; Trematoda; Strigeidida; Clinostomidae.
AUUGAUCGGGUGUUGUGCAUGACAGAUUUUCGUUCUGUAGGAAUUGAUAUUUCAAUGAUCAGUG